AAAGGACACAGACACGUGAAAGAUGCUGACCAUCGCAUCUACAAAACACCACGUGUUCAUCGCUAUGUUCUCUGCCUCAGAGAAGCCACCUACCAUUUCUAGUGGAGUCAAAAGGUGGUGUUGGAGAACUAGCAGCAUUGAGGAAUGGAAAUGGACUACUCUGGGAAUGCUGGCUGCAUUAUGGACAUCGUUUUGGUUUAUGUACUCACCGAUCCUUAGAGCUGCUGCCACACAGAGAACUCUGGACUGCAGGACUGGGCAACUGACCACUGUGGUAUUUCUCAGACUUUGUGUGUAAUAAAGAAGGAACCUCAAACUCCCAGGGUCCAACUCAAAUGUCUGCCAUCUCUGAGUCCAGAAAGGAAAACAAGUAACACAAUGGUCCUUCUCAGCCUCUAUCUGGAAUCCAAGCCAAGAUGAACUUUGUCUUGCUCAUCAGUCUACCCCCAAAUCUAGAAAGGUG
Molecule: long non-coding RNA, 463 nt
Organism: Eptesicus fuscus (big brown bat)
Lineage: Eukaryota; Metazoa; Chordata; Mammalia; Chiroptera; Vespertilionidae
Exons: 4
Source: RefSeq, a predicted model, not a curated record